Molecule: ribosomal RNA, 374 nt
Filed under: uncultured bacterium
Lineage: Bacteria
Description: bacterial SSU rRNA
Rfam family: Bacterial small subunit ribosomal RNA
Source: RNAcentral
AUUGAACGCUGGCGGCAUGCCUUACACAUGCAAGUCGAACGGCAGCACGGGAGCAAUCCUGGUGGCGAGUGGCGAACGGGUGAGUAAUAUAUCGGAACGUGCCCGGUCGUGGGGGAUAACGUAGCGAAAGCUACGCUAAUACCGCAUACGAUCUACGGAUGAAAGCGGGGGAUCGCAAGACCUCGCGCGAUUGGAGCGGCCGAUAUCAGACUAGGUAGUUGGUGAGGUAAAGGCUCACCAAGCCGACGAUCUGUAGCUGGUCUGAGAGGACGACCAGCCACACUGGGACUGAGACACGGCCCAGACUCCUACGGGAGGCAGCAGUGGGGAAUUUUGGACAAUGGGCGCAAGCCUGAUCCAGCAAUGCCGCCGUG